GUGGGGAAUUUUGGACAAUGGGCGAAAGCCUGAUCCAGCAAUGCCGCGUGUGUGAAGAAGGCCUUCGGGUUGUAAAGCACUUUUGGCAGGGAAGAAACAGUGCGUGCUAAUACCAUGCGCGAAUGACGGUACCUGCAGAAUAAGCACCGGCUAACUACGUGCCAGCAGCCGCGGUAAUACGUAGGGUGCAAGCGUUAAUCGGAAUUAAUGGGCGUAAAGCGUGCGCAGGCGGCUUUGUAAGACGGAGGUGAAAGCCCCGGGCUCAACCUGGGAAGUGCAUUCGUGACUGCAAGGCUAGAGUGUGUCAGAGGGAGGUGGAAUUCCGCGUGUAGCAGUGAAAUGCGUAGAGAUGCGGAGGAACACCGAUGGCGAAGGCAGCCUCCUGGGAUAACACUGACGCUCAGGCACGAAAGCGUGGGGAGCAAACAGGAUUAGAAACCCGAGUAGUCC
This 450-nucleotide ribosomal RNA is filed under the name uncultured bacterium. Its description in RNAcentral is "partial 16S ribosomal RNA". It matches the Rfam family "Bacterial small subunit ribosomal RNA", at positions 354 to 796 of the family's 1533-position model. The record is from RNAcentral.